GACGAACGCUGGCGGCGUGCCUAAUACAUGCAAGUCGUGCGGACCUUGUUGAAAGCUUGCUUUUAAAAGGUUAGCGGCGGACGGGUGAGUAACACGUGGGCAACCUGCCUGUAAGACUGGGAUAACGCCGGGAAACCGGGGCUAAUACCAGAUCGUUUUUUCCUCCGCAUGGAGGAAAAAGGAAAGGCGGCUUCGGCUGCCACUUACAGAUGGGCCCGCGGCGCAUUAGCUAGUUGGCGGGGUAAUGGCCCACCAAGGCAACGAUGCGUAGCCGACCUGAGAGGGUGAUCGGCCACAUUGGGACUGAGACACGGCCCAAACUCCUACGGGAGGCAGCAGUAGGGAAUCUUCCGCAAUGGACGAAAGUCUGACGGAGCAACGCCGCGUGAGUGAAGAAGGCCUUCGGGUCGGAAAACUCUGUUGCCGGGGAAGAACAAGUGCCGUUCGAACAGGGCGGCGCCUUGACGGUACCCGGCCAGAAAGCCACGGCUAACUACGUG
This 500-nucleotide ribosomal RNA is filed under the name uncultured bacterium. Its description in RNAcentral is "partial 16S ribosomal RNA". It matches the Rfam family "Bacterial small subunit ribosomal RNA", at positions 28 to 507 of the family's 1533-position model. The record is from RNAcentral.